This 250-nucleotide ribosomal RNA is filed under the name uncultured bacterium. Its description in RNAcentral is "partial 16S ribosomal RNA". It matches the Rfam family "Bacterial small subunit ribosomal RNA", at positions 57 to 305 of the family's 1533-position model. The record is from RNAcentral.
GCAAGUCGAGCGGAAACGAUGAUAGCUUGCUAUUAGGCGUCGAGCGGCGGGCGGGUGAGUAACGCGUAGGAAUCUGCUUAGUAGAGGGGGACAACAUGUGGAAACGCAUGCUAAUACCGCAUACGCCCUUAGGGGGAAAGGAGGGGAUCUUAGGACCUUCCGCUAGUAGAUGAGCCUGCGUGAGAUUAGCUAGUUGGUGGGGUAAAGGCUCACCAAGGCGACGAUCUUUAACUGGUCUGAGAGGAUGACC